CGCAGAGUCCCUGCUCCAAGGUGCCAAUAAGCCAGGCCCCCCGGAGCUUACACAGGUGUGUCCCUGAGGACCUACUCCAGGCCUACUGUGCUCAGAACUGUGGGCACGACAGACAAGGUCCUGAGUUUGUAGCUUAGUCGGAUUCAGUGGAAACAGGAUUACAGAACACAGUGGAGUCUGAUGAAGUUAUUACACAGGGAAGAGAACAGAAACCAAAAGAUGCUUUGAGAGGAAACAAAUAUUAAAGAAAAGGGAGAGGAGGCUUCGAGAUGGUGGGCAGAAGAGGACCAACAGGCAGAGGGAUCAUCAUCUCACAGCAUUUACUAAAGUGCCAAAUUAAAAACCCCUUGCUGUGGACAGCCAGGUCGCUCAGUGGUUUAGUGCUGCCUUCAGCCCAGGGCGUGAUCCUGGGGACCCGGAAUCGAGUCCCACAUCAGGUUCCCAGUAUGGAGCCUGCUUCUCCCUCUGCCUGUGUCUCUGCCUCUCUCUCAUAAAUAAAUAAAUAAAAUCUUAAUAAAAUAAAAACCCCUUGCCAUUCCUAAAAUGAAUUUCGCUCAUGCCCCAAGGAGGUAGGGAGAGCAGCUGAAGACAGCAUUUCCCAGCCCCGUCAGUGUGGGCAUGCGACUCAAUUCUAGCUAGGAAGAUGCAAGUGGAAGUAACGUGUAUAGGGGAUCCCGGGGGGGCUCAGUGGUGUAGCGCCGCCUUCCACCCAGGGCAUGGUCCUGGAGACUCGGGAUCGAGUCCCACCAUCGGGUUCCCUGCAUGGAGCCUGCUUCUCUCUCUCUCUGUGCCUCUCAUGAAUAAAUAAACUAUCUUAAAAAAAAAAAAAAAAAGGAAGUAACGGGUACAACUUGUUUCCUUAAAGCUAGGAAGAACAUCCUUGCUGCUCGAAACGCGGGUGCAGUAGCUGGGGCCCCAGUGGUCCUCGUGGACCAGGAGGGGACCUUGAGAAGAGACGCCACACACAGUGGAAAAACAAGCUCAAAGAAUCCAGGGUCCCUGAUGUUCAGGGAACCAUGUUACUGAGACUUCCUACCUCCAGAUUUCUUUUACAUGAUAGAAAAUAUAGUUUUCAAAAAUGAAAUCAUAUUAUCGUGAUAUUCGUAAGAGAAAAACAGGGUCCUCCUCUCACCGCUGCCCUGCUCACUGUCCAGAGGUAGCUGCUUUCAGCUCUUAGAAUCCUCUGGCAUUUGUCUCCCUGCUUUUUAUAACAUGCUUAUGCCAUUUUCCUUAUUUUGCAAUUUUAGACAUUAUCUUACAGAAAGACUGGCAGAUUUCCUCUCUUAUGCCCUUCCUUAUCCCAAUAUGUGGUUGUUGUUUUUUUUUUUGGUUUUUUUUACUAUUUUUCUUGCAUUACUUGUUGGUGUUUAAAUUAUUAUGACUAACUUAAUACAACAGAGUGGAAUUCAGUGAAAUGGAAAUGGACAAAUGAUAAAAGAAAAUCAAUGAAACCAAAAGCUGGUUCUUUUAAAAGUUAAAUUGAUACAAGAGGCACGGAGUACUGUGUAGAUUUGCUGAAUCACUCUAUUGUACACCUGAAACUAACAGAACACUGUUUGCUAGCUAUACUGGAAUUAAAAAACAAAUUAUUAUGACUAAAUGAAGAAGACUGACAGUUGAAGUGGGCAGUAUACUAUCAUGAUACUUUUUUUUUAGUGAAAUUUUGAUACUCCUGGAGUUAAUAAUCCCACUCACCUUUCUUCCUGCUUUUUCUUUGUAGCUAUUAUUAAUUGAACCCCAAACUCCUCCAUUAUGCAAAAACCCAGCAGGUUUACCCUCCUAGGGACUCCUGCCCUCCACCUGGUUGCUGCUGGAUUUGCUUCAAGCUAUUUUUCUUUUUCUUUUUCUUUUUUUUUUUUUAAGAUUCAUUUAUUUAUUCAUGAGAGACAGAGAGAGAGAGGCAGAGACACAGGCAGAGGGAGAAGCAGACUCCAUGCAGGGAGCCCGACGCGGGACUCGAUCCUGGAUCUCUCGUGAGCUGAUCCUGGAUCCCGUGAGCCGAAGGCAGAUGGUCAACUGCUGAGCCACCCAGUUGUCCCAAAGCUACUAUUUUUCAAUCUUGACUUAAAUCAGAGCAAAUUCCGCCCGUCACAGCCUGCUUUAUCUCCUCACCCCACUCUCCCCCAAACCUGGACUUAAGCUUAUGGAGGUUGGGAGUGCUGCUUUGAUUCAAUCACCUAGCCUUUCCUCUCUCAGGCAACUAGAGGUCCUCUUCCAUUCCGUCUGCUUGGAAUUCACCGGGUUGUUUUUCUCCAUGUCCAGUUCUAGCAAAGGAGCCACCAAGUUUCAGGGAAAAGCAUUAACAGUGAGUAUUUCUAAACCUUGACAUACUUGGAUGCUAAGAUCACAGCUAAUAAUAGGAAAUAAAGCAGCCAAGUGUGUCGUUCCUGAUGAGAGAAUUACCAGCUGGAUCAGAAACAUGGUACUUGGAGAGGGAGAGACGAGGAUGGGACCACUUCGGGGUACCAACUGGGUGCCAGCAUAGACUUAGCCGGAACAGGGGCUCGAGUCCUUUUUUUUAGCAGGUGUCCAACAUUCAUUUCAUAUAAUCAGGAAAUGUUAGACUACCCCAACGGACACAAACCGGUGGCCUUUGGACAAAAUCAGACCUACAUAGUCUCAGUCAGCAGUGUUUCUAAACUUUUGAAUGCUUUAAAAAAAUUAUUUAUUCAUGGGAAACACAGAGUGAGAGGCAGGCUCCUGAAGGGAACCCAAUGUGGGACUCGAUCCCAGGACCCGGGGAUAAUGCCCUGAGCUGAAGGCAGAUGUUCGGGUGCCCCUUGAAUGCUUUUUAGGUUGGCAUUCCCUUUCACCCCACUUCCCUUCAUACCCCACCCCCAAAAGUGUGGCGGAGAACUCUAAUAACCCAGUCUCUUUAAGGUACAGAAGAUGGAGGGAAAAAUAUUCGAGGGGGGAUGGUUCAAGUCACGCAGCUAGGUGGCGGCCAAGCAAGGACUAAGCAACUCCAACAGCCUUCCGGAGACGCCACAUUGCCGCUCUCUCUAACUCAGCCGCGUGUCCUGGCCUGUGCAGGCUGAGUCAUCAGUUUACUCACUAGGAACAGAUUUAGAGCGCAGUGAUUGAGAGAAGCGCCAGGGCUAUUCCCCACAGGCCGGGUAAAACAUUCCUGGCUCACCAGAGAACAUCCAUAACCUCCAAGUCAAGCGAUCAGAACAUCUGAGCGCACCCGCUUCGGUGUCCUGCUAUACACACUGCUGACUUUCCAUUUCAUUCCCCCAUCUUGCAGGCUUCUGGCCAACCAUCUCUUUUCGUUUAAACAUAAUCCUUUGUCCAGAGUACAAUGCAAUCACUUGGUAUCAGCUAUUUGGUGAUUUUUAAACAUCUGAAAGAACUCUUGUAGCUUCUUACUCAGUGUCCUUUGGUUAACAAGCCCUAGACAGCGGCCCCGUAGCAGCCGUAAACCAGGCAGGCAGCAGGGCCCUCGUGGAUGGACACCUCUUGCUGUGCCUGCAGCUCCCGAGAGAAGCCUUCCACAGGAGUGCCAGCUUCCUCAACAGAAUUAGAAACACCUAACAUCUGCACCACACCUCCCUCUAUUUUCCUUAACUCCUGUUCCUUUGCCUACACCACUCAUUUUGACACUAAAUAAUAUUUAGAAAGAUUAAAUUUAUCACAAGUGUGCCUUUCAGAUUCCUAACGAUAUUUUAAGGCUCUAAAUGGAAAGGGGAAAAAAGUACAGAUUUUGGAGACACACUCCUGGGGUGCAAAUCCGAGCUCUGCCAUUUAUUGGCUGUGUGACCCAGGCAAGUCCCUGAGCCUCUGGGUCUAAGUG
RNAcentral lists this long non-coding RNA (3793 nucleotides) under Canis lupus familiaris (dog). Its description in RNAcentral is "lncRNA (ENSCAFG00000055080.1)". Lineage: Eukaryota; Metazoa; Chordata; Mammalia; Carnivora; Canidae. The record is from RNAcentral.